RNAcentral lists this ribosomal RNA (495 nucleotides) under uncultured bacterium. RNAcentral's name for it is "partial 16S ribosomal RNA". It matches the Rfam family "Bacterial small subunit ribosomal RNA", at positions 28 to 507 of the family's 1533-position model. The record is from RNAcentral.
GACGAACGCUGGCGGCGUGCCUAAUACAUGCAAGUCGAACGCUGAAGGAGGAGCUUGCUUCUCUGGAUGAGUUGCGAACGGGUGAGUAACGCGUAGGUAACCUGCCUGGUAGUGGGGGAUAACUAUUGGAAACGAUAGCUAAUACCGCAUAAUAGCCGUUGUUGCAUGAUAACCGUUUGAAAGGUGCAAUUGCCCCGCUACCAGAUGGACCUGCGUUGUAUUAGCUUGUUGGUGGGGUAACGGCUCAACAAGGCGACGAUACAUAGCCGACCUGAGAGGGAGGUCGGCCAAACCUGGACCUGGGCACGGCCCAGGCCCCUACGGGGAGCAGCAGGAGGGGAACUUCGGCAAAGGGCGGAAAGCUGACCGAGCAACGCCGCGGGGGGGAAGGAGGGUUUCGGGUCGGAAAGCUCUGUUUUAAGGGAAGGACGAGUAGGAGGGUAGAAAGUUGACGCUGUGACGGUAUCUAACCAGAAAGGAACGGCUAACUACGUG